AUGGGGCGUAUUGCGAGUGGCACUUUUGAUCACAUCAGUGAAAGAGCUCAUGGAAAAAUUCAAGGGUGGUUGGAGAAGUUGCUAUCUUGUGCAGGACAUGAGACACUCUUGAAAUCUGUUGUUCAAGCUAUUCCUACUUACCUAGUGAGUACCUUUUUGUUUAAAACGAAGGUUUGCAAGAGUUUGACUUCUCCCAUGGCAAAAUAUUUCUGGAGUAGUUCUCUUGACAAGAAAUCUAUGCAUUGGGUGUCAUGGAAAGAGUUAGCUACACCCAAGUGCAACGGUGGUAUGGGUUUCUAAGACCUACACCAAUUUAACCUUGUAGUGUUGGAAAAGCAUGGAUGGCAUUUUUUGACAAAUUCGAACUCCCUAUGUAAAAGUGUUUUGAAAGGCCGACACUUUCGUGACACUGAUUUCAUGCAAGCAUCCGCCCCCAAGCCGGCCUUGGCCAUGUGGAAGGCGAUCAUUGCAGGAAGAGAGGCACCAAGGAAUGGGUCGAUUUCAUGA
RNAcentral lists this ribosomal RNA (507 nucleotides) under Triticum aestivum (bread wheat). Its description in RNAcentral is "partial small subunit ribosomal RNA". Lineage: Eukaryota; Viridiplantae; Streptophyta; Magnoliopsida; Poales; Poaceae. The record is from RNAcentral.